This 72-nucleotide transfer RNA is filed under the name Cafileria marina. Its description in RNAcentral is "tRNA-Asn". It matches the Rfam family "tRNA". From Rfam's summary of the family: Transfer RNA (tRNA) molecules are approximately 80 nucleotides in length. Their secondary structure includes four short double-helical elements and three loops (D, anti-codon, and T loops). The record is from RNAcentral. Lineage: Eukaryota; Bigyra; Bicosoecida.
UCUUUAAUAGCUCAGCGGUAGAGCAUAUGGCUGUUAACCAUUGAGUCAUUGGUUCAAAUCCAAUUUAGAGAG